Ictidomys tridecemlineatus (thirteen-lined ground squirrel) is the source of this 3536-nucleotide long non-coding RNA. Lineage: Eukaryota; Metazoa; Chordata; Mammalia; Rodentia; Sciuridae. The record is from Ensembl.
UUUAGAAGGAAUUCUUUCAGUUUUUCUCCAUUCAGAAUAAUGUUUGUCUUGAAUUUGUCACAUAUAGCCUUUACAAGGUUAAGAUGUGUUCCUUCCAUUCCUUGUUUUUCUAGUGUUUUAAACACGAAUGGCUGCUGUAUUUUGUCAAAUGCUUUUUCUCCAUCUAUUGAGGAAAUUAUCUGGUUCUUGUCUUUAAGUUUAUUUAUGUGGUGCAUUAAAUUUAUUGAUUUCUGAAUAUUGAACCCACCUUGAAUCCCUGGGUUGAAACCCCCUUGAUCAUGGUGCUCUAACUUUUAAUAUGUUUUUGUAUGUGAUUUGCCAGGAUUUUAUUGAGAAUUUUUGCAUUUAUGCUCAUCAGGGAUACUGGUCUGAAGUUUUCUUUCCUUGAUGUGUCUUUGUCUGGUUUUGGUUUCAGGGUGAUACUAGCUUCAUAGAAUGAGUUUGACAGAGUUCCUGCCUUUUCUGUUUCAUGGAAUAAUUUGAGGAAUAUUGGUAUUUGUUCUUUAAAGAUCUGGUAGAACUCGGCUGAGAAUGCGUCUGGUUCUGGGCUUUUCUUUAUUGGUACACUUUUGAUGGCUUCUUCAAUUUCAUUAUUUGAAAUGAUAAAAAUAAUAUCAAGCAAUGUUGGAUAUUACUACAGAGUGUUUCAGGAGUUCAGAAGAGGAAUUAUGUCCUUCCUGUGGGGAGCAGAGAAAUCUUGAGGAGUGAAAUUGAGGUGGCUUUUGAGCUGAGUGUUGAGGUGUGCCCAAAUGGAGGAGGCAAGACGGAGACCCUUUGAACCACUUGGAGAAGGACAUCAAUCCACACCUCAAGGAGGAAGCUGACUGAGCAGAGGCCCCGGGGAAGAAGUGCCUCUGUCUGAAAUGGCUGGUCGGCAGACACGGGAUGGAGGGCAAGAGGAAACAAUUGAAUUAGAGCCCAGGUCUCCUGGAUCUUCGCUACUGGACUGUUGACUUGAUGCUACUAAUCAGGGCCUUGUGGACACCCAUGAGGUGCCUGGAGAGGCAGCCGACCCAGCUGGUGAUUUUCUCAGAGGAGGCACUACCUGCGCUGAAACAGAAAUCAUUAUUCUUGGCAAAUAUCCCUCAAUGUUCUGGGGCAAAUCAACACAAAUCAAUCACUGAACAGCAGCACAUGAGUUGCUUGGGGUGUUUUCAGUUAGUGCCAACUUGGUGGCAGGCCUGUGUGGGGCAUUCACUCACUGUCCUCGUAGUCACAGUGGUUGCCCUGCUGAGACUCAUUUAGGAAAGCCAGGUGACCAGAAGAGUUCUUUAUAGGUGUCCUCAAACAAAUCCCACACCCUGCCAUGGUGCAAGACCCUGGAAUCGCCAUCAAGUGGGCAUACGGGCAGCUACAAACACGUGUGCGCGUACUCGUGAUUCAGCAGGUCCCCAUUCAACACAGGAUUACAGGUGCAUGCUGGGCCCUGACCCAGGGCAGAACACAAUAAUGAGGAAGAAAUUCAGUGAUCUCCCCGUGGAUCCUAGCGUGUAGUGAGAAGCAUGAACCAAAUAAUUAUACGACGAAACCCUAAAUGGAAGAAGAGAGGCAGGCGGUAGUGGGGAGUGUGUACUAGGAGGGCUAAGAAAGGGAAAGGGAAGCUUUGCUGGGGAAUGAUGCUUGCAAAGAGAGCUGAAGGAUUAAGAUGGCUAACUUGGUUUAAGGCAAGAGAAGAAAAUUCCAGAAACAUGGAGUGGUGGGUGCAAAGGCCCUGAGGUGAGAGGAAAUAUGCAUGUUCCAGGAACUGAGAACAGGCCCUUGUGGCGGUAACUGAGGAGUGAGCAUGUUGAGAUAGGGGUGAAGAAGUUCAUCCUCAUCCAGGCUCCAUAGAGUCUGAUAAGCAUCUACACCAACAGGGAACUGUGGGAGGGUUUUAAGAAGUAUUUUUGGACACGUGUGUUAGAUGUGGCUGAUUUCCAUUUGGAAAGGACCUCCGUGGCAGUGACUCAGGACAGGCAGGGAUGAUAAUGAGGGAGCAGACAGAAGCUGCAGAGAGAUGGUAGAAACUCUUUUGGAGAUGGUGGAUGAAAGCCGCUCAAGAAAAAAUUACAAGGUGUAGUGUGGGAUUUAGACGUGGAGGUGAUGGCGGCUACUGGCCAAGGGUGGCAUUUACAUUCCUGACUUGGUGCAGCUCUCUGCUGAGAUGGGCAGGGCAUAGAGAGCCCUGAGGUCUUCCUUAGACCCCCCUGGGCCUGCCUUAAGUGCCCGCGGCCAAGCCUCACCAAUGAAGGAUGAAGAGCUGCCUUGGAUUCCGUGCCACCACUCCCGCAGGACCAAGCUUCAGACCUCUCAAGAACUGCCACCAAAUUGCGACCUUUUGAGUCCUCCUCGGGAAGGUCAAUCCACCUCUGAAAGAAAUGCGAUUUCUCGGAGACCAAGUCUGAGUCGGGUUCGCUCUCCCUUUAGUGUUAAAUGACAAUAUCAGCAGCCGCCAUGCCGAGGCCCUUGUGCCAGGUGUUUAACAUUUGCAGCUCUGUUCAAGUUCAGUUCCACCAGCAAGCGCCCUGCAGUCCUGGCUCAGCCACGGAGGAGUCACUGAUGACUCUGACCCUGCUCACCAGGGGCCUGCUGCGCUGGCCCAGGCCCUUGGGAUGCAGGACAGGCCAUGAACCCGCCCUCAGAGUAGGAACCACAAGGCGCUGUUUUCCCCGCUAAGGGAAGGAAGAUGGCUUGAGGGUCCCUCUUCAUUUUUAUGAUUGUGUGACAUGGGGACAGGCUGCAUGUACUCUGUUGCAAUCAGAGACUCACAUCACUGUCCUCAAAUGGUCAUGUGUGUGUCCUUCCCAGUGCCAGGCACUUACCCGUGUAUGCCAUUGUUCCUGGCUGGAAGAGAUGCCCUCCCAGGGGGAAGGUGGCCACAUCAAGACCUGGCUUAAGCAGAAAGAAGACUUAGAGGCAGUAGGUCCUGGAUUGCAGAGGGAGAGGAGAAUGAGGCAGGCUUCCUGGAGGAGGAGGCACUGGCUUUGGGGUUUGGCUGGGGACGAGUGAGGGUCUAGGAGGUAGAGGACAGGAGGGAGGAACAUUGGGGAUAGAAGUAAAAGUCCAAGAACAGGAAGCCUGGGGAUGGACAGAUGGCCAGGGGCUGCUGGAAUGGAGGGCACAGGGUGGGAGGCAGCAGAGAAGUGACAGAAAUGAGGGAAGGCUCUGCAGAUGCUGCAGCUGGGGCAGAUCACCCAGAAGGGAGUGGAAACUCAAUUUCUAUAAUUUAGAAAAAUGACUCAGGUUCUUUUGUGGAAAGGUAAAGAGUGGGUAGGAAAGGUGAGAUUUUAGAGGUGCAUGUCCAGAUUUUUGGCAGCUGCUAUGGGUUGAAUUGUGACUCCCCAAAAGUCUUAAUGGUGACUGUGACCUUAUUUUGUAAUAAGGUCUCUUUUCUUUCCCCCCUUCUUUUCUCUCUGUCUCUCUCUCUCUGUCUCUGUCUCUCUGUUUGCAGUGCUGGGGAUGGAACCCAGGGCUUCCCACAUGGUAGGCGAGGGCUCUCUCCACCACUAAACUACACCCUCAGUCCAAUAAUAAGAUCUUGACAGCUGUAAUCAAGA